CUGCCGAACGGCCAUCUUCGGUGGACGCUCCUAUGAGCUCACGUCAUCGUGGUAGACUGGUAGUGCAGCGACGCCGCUCCAGACAAUGCCUAGGAGACGUCUUCAGGUUUGACGGUGGCAGGAUGGAGCUUUGAGGACCUCCAGUUUGGUGGCGGUAUGCGUGUAAAAUGGAGGAAGUGGUUACACUAUCUAUUUUAAACAUGCAGCAGGCAAAAAAUAAGUUGCUGGAUCGACGCAUGCUUUGCUCCUGUGCUCCUCUGUCCGUGCUAAGGUUUGCAUUUUUCUCUCUGUACAAAUUUUGUGCUUUUUGCCUGCUAUUGAUUUACUUGUUGCGUAUGUGUAUUCAGCACACUUGAGAUCAUUCUUAUUUGGCCACACAUUUUUGUUUUACUUGGUGUAUUCAAAGUACAGAUGUUUUUCCAUUAUUUCAG
Non-coding RNA from Lolium perenne, 431 nucleotides. The record is from RefSeq and is a predicted model, not a curated record. NCBI's taxonomy places the organism in Eukaryota, Viridiplantae, Streptophyta, Magnoliopsida, Poales, Poaceae.